GAUGAACGCUGGCGGUAUGCUUAACACAUGCAAGUCGAACGGACUCUUCGGAGUUAGUGGCGGACGGGUGAGUAACGCGUGAGAAUCUGGCUUUGGGUUCGGGACAACCACUGGAAACGGUGGCUAAUACCGGAUGUGCCGAGAGGUAAAAGAGAAAUUGCCUGAAGAUGAGCUCGCGUCUGAUUAGCUAGUUGGUGAGGUAAAGGCUCACCAAGGCAGCGAUCAGUAGCUGGUCUGAGAGGAUGACCAGCCACACUGGGACUGAGACACGGCCCAGACUACUACGGGAGGCAGCAGUGGGGAAUUUUCCGCAAUGGGCGAAAGCCUGACGGAGCAAUACCGCGUGAGGGGAGGAGGCUCUUGGGUUGUAAACCUCUUUUCUUAGGGAAGAACAAAAUGACGGUACCUAAGGAAUCAGCAUCGGCUAACUCCGUG
Molecule: ribosomal RNA, 435 nt
Filed under: uncultured bacterium
Lineage: Bacteria
Description: partial 16S ribosomal RNA
Rfam family: Bacterial small subunit ribosomal RNA
Source: RNAcentral